Molecule: ribosomal RNA, 466 nt
Filed under: uncultured bacterium
Lineage: Bacteria
Description: partial 16S ribosomal RNA
Rfam family: Bacterial small subunit ribosomal RNA
Source: RNAcentral
GAUGAACGCUGGCGGCGUGCUUAACACAUGCAAGUCGAACGAUGAAGCCCAGCUUGCUGGGUGGUUUAGUGGCGAACGGGUGAGUAACACGUGAGUAACCUGCCCUUAACUCUGGGAUAAGCCUUGGAAACUGGGUCUAAUACCGGAUAGGAGCGUCCACCGCAUGGUGGGUGUUGGAAAGAUUUAUCGGUUUUGGAUGUACUCGCGGCCUAUCAGCUUUUUCGUGAGGGAAUGGCUCACCAAGGCGACGACGGAUAGCCGGCCUGAGAGGGUGACCAGGCACACUGGGACUGAGACACGGCCCAGACGCCAACGGGAGGCAGCAGUGGGGAGUAUUGCCCAAUGGGAGCAAGCCUGAUGCAGAGACGCCGCGUGAGGGAUGACGGCCUUCGGGUUGUAAACCUCUUUCAGUAGGGAAGAAGCGAAAGUGACGGUACCUGCAGAAGAAGCACCGGCUAACUACGUG